UUAGCUCAGUGGGUUAUACUUUAGAGCGUCUGUUUUACACACAGAAGGUCGAGAGUUCGAAACUCCCA
RNAcentral lists this transfer RNA (68 nucleotides) under Geminigera cryophila. It matches the Rfam family "tRNA", at positions 7 to 64 of the family's 71-position model. From Rfam's summary of the family: Transfer RNA (tRNA) molecules are approximately 80 nucleotides in length. Their secondary structure includes four short double-helical elements and three loops (D, anti-codon, and T loops). Lineage: Eukaryota; Cryptophyceae; Pyrenomonadales; Geminigeraceae. The record is from RNAcentral. RNAcentral also lists the same sequence under 1 other name.